RNAcentral lists this long non-coding RNA (5725 nucleotides) under Sus scrofa (pig). RNAcentral describes it as "lncRNA (ENSSSCG00040065734.1)". The record is from RNAcentral. Lineage: Eukaryota; Metazoa; Chordata; Mammalia; Artiodactyla; Suidae.
AAGGAAGGGGGACUCCAGAGGAAAAACCCUGAUGAAGACACAGUUCUCAGCCUUUAAUGAUUUAUUUUGUCUUAUUAGGGCCGCACCUGCGGCAUAUGGAGGGUAAGCCUUGCAGAUGUGACACUGUUUUAAUCAUGUUGGCUCUUAAAAAUGGAAUUCUGGAGUUCCCUGGUGGCUCAGUGGGUUAAGGAUCUGGCGUUGUCACUGCUGUGGCUCUGGUUACUGCCGUGGUGCGGGUUUGAUCCCUGACCUGGAAACUGACACAUGCUGUGGGUGCGGCCAAAAAAAUGGAGUUCUGAGACAGUUCUCAAUCUUGUGCCUGCUGUUUCAAAGAAAGCCUGGUGUUCAUUACUUAGUUCACUUAUCAGCAAAUCUUGGGUCUGGUGGUGAAGAGGGGCGGAAACUGGGGAGAACACUGGUUCUGGGCUGCCUGGGGAACCUUGGACAGGGAUUUAGCUUCUCUGAGCCUCAUUUUGUUUAUCUGUAGAGGCAGUAAUUGAUCGUGUCAUUGAAAUAAGCAAUGCGAAACUUAAAUCAGACCUGGCACACAGCACACCCUUCCCGAGGGUUAUUAGUCAUUGCCUCUCACUUCCAUAGAGUUCAAGGGUACAGGUGGCUGGAGAUGCCUUCUCCCUUUAUCCAGCAGCCCUGCACAGUAGAUCUUAUCUAGCAUAUUAUGGAUAAGGCAACCCAGAGAAAUUACCAAGCUUGUCCAAGGACACAAGCUAAUAAUAAAUGGUAGAGUUAGAAGACCGUGAUAAAAGACCUCGCCUUUUCUAGUCGAUGCUCUUGCAGGUGGCAAGAGUGGAGAAGAAAUCCAGUUUCUCUGGGGACUUGGGGAGGGAGGUAACUUAAUCAUUAGCAUCUUCCGCUUUAUUUAUUUAUUUAUUUGGCUGUCCUGCAGCAUGCAGAAGUUCUCAGACAAUGGAUCGAACCCAUGCCACUGCAGUGACAAUGCUGGAUCCUUAACCACUAGACCACCAGGGAGCUCUGCAUCUUUCCUUAAAAGCCAGGCUCUUAUAACUCCUCCACGCUGUGCCUCAGAUUCGGAGGGAGACCAGCAAUAUCUGGGGGACCUCACAGCCCUCGGCACCUUGGGGAGGUACCAGGCUGAGGGGUUUCUGUGACUAUCUUAGCAGGAACUUGGUUGCCUUGCCUGGAGUUCUGAAUUAGGAGCCUCAGCCUGAAAACAGACACCCAGGCAAGACUUUCUGAGUCCUCUUGGGAGAGAGCAUCUGUGGUGUGAGUCUCUCCAGGGCUAGUGAGGAAGGUUCUAGAAGACAGGAUUCAAGGCUGCUGCUUUUGAAGAAUGGAAUCAUGAGGGUCUUGGGAAAUAAGUAGUGAGUUCCUGCCCAGUUUUAUGCCUGGUUUUCUCUCUGUCCCAUGGAAAUGAAAAGGUCACCAUUGGCUGCCUGCUGCUUGAGCCCAGCCCGCACCUGUUGGUGGCCUGCAAGGGGCCUGCUCUGAAUGCACAAAGGGAGGCUGGGGAGGAAGCCUGACCUUGGCUCGGGGAGGCCUCGGGAGAUAAAGCUCAGACAAGGGAUCGGGAGCCUGCGCAGCUUCCAUGGCUGAUUGCCAGCCGGGACAGUGGGCUGAGCCCAUGUUUGCUGCAGCCCCUGUGCUUGUCCAAAGACUUUAUCAGAGAAGGGAGGGCACACAGCCUGUAGGCUCACCCAUCACUGUGCCCUUUAUAACCUGGAGCGUCUCCCUCUCUGUUACCUGAGAAAAAGCUGCCCCCCUCCCCGCCCCCUGACACAGAGGGCUCCUGGAAGCCCAGCCCCGCAGGUGAGUGGCUCAGAGAUUGGGUGGUGGUGGGGGGGGAUCAGAAGGCAGGGAGGGUAGUGCAGAUGGGAGGGGAAGGUGGAAGUAAGUGUGACCGAGAUGAAGGGGUCUCCUGGGACGUGGGAUUUGGGGGCUAAAAUGGGAAAGCCCCAGGCAAAUCGGGACCAGUUGGUCACCCUAGUCAGGCAGAGUCCUGCCACCCUGGCUGUGGCACUGGGCAGGCUGGGUCAUGAUGGACCUGUAAGAGGGGGCCCCUUGAGGCUCAGUGCCCCCUCAGACUUGAUUGCAUGAAGAAUCCGUGACUCUGCUGUCCCCCAAGUCUGUGAGCACAGGAUGGCAGAAACCACCCUAUCCUCGGGCCAGCUCCUGCCUGUCCCCAAGCACAGAACAUUUAGUAAACGCUGGAGGAUGAAGGAAUGAGGGGUGAGGGCCUCUGCCAAAUUACUCAGGUGCUGGUUCAUGCUUUGCUACUUUGCACAUGCUGUUCCCUCUCCUACAUGCCCUUCCCUGCCUUGACAGUCCCUGACCACACGUGUCCCCUCUGAGCCAAACCUUAACUCCCUGACGGGCUUGCUCUGUUCAUGCUUCUGCCCCCUGCCCCCGGCGGUGACCCCCUCCAGGGAAGGUCCCAGCUUAGUAUUUGCUCUGCUGCCCUUGGCGCCUGGAGGUGCCGUAAAGCUUUCUUGAGCAGAUGAAUGGCGCUGACUGCAUAGAGCAAAGAGUCAUUCACUCGCCAACUUCUGGCCGAGGGCCUGCUGCAGGCUAGGCACUGUCCUAGGCACAGGGGCAGGAGCAGUGGAUAUGACUAACAAAAUCUUUGCUCUGAUAGAACUUACAUUCUAGACGGUUCUAGAAGCAUCUAGAUCCAAUGAACAAGCAAUAAGUCAACAGACCGUAUCAGAAGGUCCAGUGCGCUGAAGGCGAUGCAAAGGAGAAGGCAGGCGUCCGAGUCCUUGCCAGGUGCUGGCAGGCCGAGGCGGAGGCCACAGCUCCCUGGAGGGGAAGUGAUUCAGGCCCAGCACAUGUGGCUCCCUUCCCCUGGACGCAGCCAGCACAUACCUUCCCCUGGGUGGUGGCAGCCCCGCUGUUGAGUGUGGCCAACUCGGGGAGGGUGGCAUUUGCCUGUCGUGCAAAGUCCCUGCGAGGAAAUCCAUUAAAGCCAGUAUUGUGCAAGAGAAGGCAGAAAACACAUUUUUGAAGGUCACGUGGUGUUGGUGCCUGGUGUGGGAGGCCCAGGGUGUGUCUGCACCCCAGGCCCCCUGGGACCAGAUUGCAAAGAAUGGGGCUCACGUGCUGGCUGCCCCUCUCCCCCAGUGGGUGGGUGACCUUGCCAGGCAGUAGCAGGAAGGCUCGGGCUCCCCUAAGUGAUGGCUGGGGAGCCCAGGUCCCUCCAGGGGGAAAGGGAUACGCCCCCCUGCCAUUAGGUCAAGGGGGAGAAGGAGGGUGACAGUGCUGGUCAGCUUCCAGGCUGCACGCAACAGUGGGGUAUUGUCCACUGUGACUGACGGGGAGCUCACCCCCAGACACAGGCCCUUUGGGGAGGGAUGGGGUAGCAUCCAGCAGGGCCAGGUGCCCUGUGCCCAGAAAACAUGCUGCUCCCCAGAGCCCCACACGGCUUCUCUUUGCUGCCUGAAUGCAGGUGGCCCCUGGUGCUGAGGCCCAGGGGGCUCGAGGAGGCACCUCUGCAUCUGUAAAGGACAUGGCUCACCCCUGCUGGUGACACCGUCAUGUUGCCACCCCUGGAGAGCCAGGAACAAGUCAGUCCCCAGGCCGGUGCCCUUGGCUUCACACAGGCACAUCGUAAACCUGGCGUCUCGAAGCCCUGGCAGGAACGGGCAUGUGCUAAUUAUAAUCUACACGGCCUGUUAACCAUUGACCUCGGACUCCAAGGAGGCGAAGGCUCCAGGGGGGAGGCCUUAGGGGUGCUCUGAGGCCUCCAGAUACAAGGCAGGGCCUUCUGUGACUCAGAGGAUGGGCUCUUGGGUAGCUCGGUGGACGCUACUUGCAGCUUUGACAGAAGGGAGAUGGUUUUGCUCCCCUUGGACUCUGCCGGGGGCGCCCCUUGGACUCUGCCCGGGGACUGUUGGGAGACAAGUCAGCAGGAUUACCUUCCAUGUGACCUCAGGCAGGUCACGUAACCACUUUGGACCUUGACUUCUUCACCUAUAAAAAGAAGGCCGGAGUUCCCUUCGUGGCUCAGUGGAAACAAAUCUGACUAGUAUCCAUGAGGACACAGGUUCGAUCUCUGGCCUCGCUCAGUGGGUUAGGAAUCUGGCAUUGCUGCAAGCUGUGGUGUAGAUCACAGAAGCGGCUCGGAUCCCCAGUUGCCGUGGCUGUGGUAUAGGCCAGUGGCUACUGCUCUGAUUUGACCCCUAGCCUGAGAAUCUUUAUAUGCUGUGGGUGCAGCCCUAAAAGACAGGGAAAAAAAAGAAGGCAAUCAUUUCUAUUUUAAUUGGAAAAGGGAGACCUCAAUAAGGUAGUGUGUGUAAGCACCUAAUACAGGAACUGACACCUAGUAGGUGCUUAAAAAUGUUGGUUCCUAGUCAUUACCCCCCUGAAAAAUCCUGGAGGGCUUCCUGGAGGCGGUGAUGCUAGCACUGAUGAGUGAAUGCAGGCAGGCAAAGAAGAGCAUUGAGGGGAGAAGCCACUUGGUGUGUACUGGGAGCCCUGGGGAGGUCUGGCUCAGGAAGAAGAGGUGGGAAGAGGUGGGAGGUAAACCUGCAGAGGUGGGUGGAGAAGGACAGCCACUGCCCCAGUACGCUUUGUGGACUUUCUCAGGGGCAGGCCAUGGAGCUGUGGAGGGAUUGAGUCACAAGGACCUUUGACUCUGAACCUAACUGCCCCUUUCUUCCAAAGAGAGAGGACUCCGGUCUCUGCCUACUGUGAGACCGGAGGCAAGUUGAAGCUCGCUGGUGCCCGCGACCCUGGACCCGGGCGUGGAUUUGGCUCUGCGGGGCCGCGGGUCUCCCCAGCGGUUCAGCAAGCGCAGCGCCGGAAACUCACUUGCUCCCCACACUCCCAUUUGGAACAAACCCUGCCUGCCUUAGACUGUUCUCACUGCUGGGGUUCAUUUAUUUAAUAAGAGUAGGGUUCGACUUGUUCUGUGUCCUUAGAUAAACCAAACCUGAAAACCACGGGAGCGCUUUUUUUUUUUUUUUAAGCUGGGAAGUAAAGUGUGCUGGGUUUUCUAGUCUGUCUUAUUCCAGCCAUGACACAGACCCUGGGUCGGCAAGAUCUGGCUUCGGUGGGUCUGAGAGGCCCGUCUUUGUAUCGAGGGCCUGGUGUACGCCAGGCUCCCUGCCAGGCCCUUGCAUGCUUCUUGGUGCCAUUGGUAUCCUCACUUUACAAACAAGGAAACUGAGGAACAGAGAGGUUAAUACACUUGCUCAGGGUCACAUAGCUAUUCGAUGGAGAAGCCAGAUUCAGUCCCACACUGGCUAUACUUCACAGACUACCUUUUCUUUAGAGCGUAAUGUGAAAGCUGGGCUUCCUAAUUUUAAAAUCUAAUGGAACUGUGAAAUCUCUUCAUUUGUUAUUGGAAUGUAUGCAGUUUUAAAGUCCUCUAAUUUUUUUGUUAAUUGCCACUACCACCUUAAAGAAACUGACAUUUAAGAAAUGUACCUAUGGGAGUUCCCACUGUGGCUUAGUGGGUUAAGAGCCUGACUAGUAUCCAUGAGGAUGCGGGUUUGAUCCUUGGCCUUGCUCAGUGGGUUAAGGAUCCUGUGUUGCCAUAAGCUGCGGUGGAGGUCACAGACAUGGCUCUGAUCCUGCUUUGCUGUGUCUGUGAUGUCAGCUGGCAGCUGCAAUGCUGAUUCGACCUCUAGCCUGGGAACUUCCGUGUGCUGUAGGUGCAGCCCUAAAAAGAAAAGAAAAGAAAGGAAAAGAAAAGAAAAGAAAAGAAAAGAAAGGAAAAGAAAAGAAAAGAAAAGAAAAGAAAAGAAAA